RNAcentral lists this ribosomal RNA (447 nucleotides) under uncultured bacterium. RNAcentral's name for it is "bacterial SSU rRNA". It matches the Rfam family "Bacterial small subunit ribosomal RNA", at positions 328 to 793 of the family's 1533-position model. The record is from RNAcentral.
GAGCCAGACUCCUACGGGAGGCAGCAGCGGGGAAUAUUGCACAAUGGGGGAAACCCUGAUGCAGCGACGCCGCGUGAGUGAAGAAGUAAUUCGUUAUGUAAAGCUCUAUCAGCAGGGAAGAAAAUGACGGUACCUGAGUAAGAAGCCCCGGCUAACUCCGUGCCAGCAGCCGCGGUAAUACGGAGGAUGCGAGCGUUAUCCGGAUUUAUUGGGUUUAAAGGGUGCGCAGGCGGAAGAUCAAGUCAGCGGUAAAUUUGGGGGGCUCACCCUCUUCGAGCCGUUGAAACUGGUUUUCUUGAGUGAGCGAGAAGUAUGCGGAAUGCGUGGUGUAGCGGUGAAAUGCAUAGAUAUCACGCAGAACUCCGAUUGCGAAGGCAGCAUACCGGCGCUCAACUGACGCUCAUGCACGAAAGUGUGGGUAUCGAACAGGAUUAGAUACCCUGGUAC